AUGCCAGACUCGGCUUUUCCUUCUCACAUUUCACUUCUUGCUCCUAGUAACAAGGUGAACCUCGACUCCUGCGGUAUGCCGGCCAAAGGCCCCUUGGACUUCUCCCUCGCCUUAGCCUCCUCUGCCUCUGCCUCGAGCCCCAGCCAUUCUCUGCCACCUCACACAUUCCAUUGCCCAUUCCUGGAUUCUGCAGUAAAGGCUGGGGCCACUGGUGGUGCUCUCUCUCUGUCUCCCUCUCCUCUUCUCUCUCCUCUCUCCCUCUAUCCUCUCUCUACUCCUCUCUCCCCUCUUCUUUCUCUCCUCUCUCCCCUCUUCUUUCUCUCUCCUCUCUCCCUCUAUCAUCUCUCUACUCCUCUCUCCCCUCUUCUCUCUCUCUCUCUCUCCCCUCUUCUCUCUCUCUCUCUCUCUCCCGGGCCCGAUCUCUCGGCCGCUGUCCCUGUCUCUAUCUCUCUCUCGGCGG
This 460-nucleotide long non-coding RNA is filed under the name Monodelphis domestica (gray short-tailed opossum). Its description in RNAcentral is "lncRNA (ENSMODG00000038843.1)". The record is from RNAcentral. Lineage: Eukaryota; Metazoa; Chordata; Mammalia; Didelphimorphia; Didelphidae.